UACGUAGGGUGCAAGCGUUAUCCGGAAUUAUUGGGCGUAAAGCGCACGUAGGCGGCUUUGUAAGUUAGAGGUGAAAGCCCAGGGCUUAACCCUGGAAUUGCCUUUAAGACUGCAUCGCUAGAAUCGUGGAGAGGUGAGUGGAAUUCCGAGUGUAGAGGUGAAAUUCGUAGAUAUUCGGAAGAACACCAGUGGCGAAGGCGACUCACUGGACACGUAUUGACGCUGAGGUGCGAAAGCGUGGGGAGCAAACAGG
Molecule: ribosomal RNA, 253 nt
Filed under: uncultured bacterium
Lineage: Bacteria
Description: partial 16S ribosomal RNA
Rfam family: Bacterial small subunit ribosomal RNA
Source: RNAcentral